GACGAACGCUGGCGGCGUGCUUAACACAUGCAAGUCGAACGGAAAGGCCCUGCUUUUGUGGGGUGCUCGAGUGGCGAACGGGUGAGUAACACGUGAGUAACCUGCCCUUGACUUUGGGAUAACUUCAGGAAACUGGCGCUAAUACCGGAUAGGAGCUCCUGCUGCAUGGUGGGGGUUGGAAAGUUUCGGCGGUUGGGGAUGGACUCGCGGCUUAUCAGCUUGUUGGUGGGGUAGUGGCUUACCAAGGCUUUGACGGGUAGCCGGCCUGAGAGGGUGACCGGCCACAUUGGGACUGAGAUACGGCCCAGACUCCUACGGGAGGCAGCAGUGGGGAAUAUUGCACAAUGGGCGGAAGCCUGAUGCAGCAACGCCGCGUGCGGGAUGACGGCCUUCGGGUUGUAAACCGCUUUCGCCUGUGACGAAGCGUGAGUGACGGUAAUGGGUAAAGAAGCACCGGCUAACUACGUG
This 468-nucleotide ribosomal RNA is filed under the name uncultured bacterium. Its description in RNAcentral is "partial 16S ribosomal RNA". It matches the Rfam family "Bacterial small subunit ribosomal RNA", at positions 28 to 507 of the family's 1533-position model. The record is from RNAcentral.